Bos grunniens (domestic yak) is the source of this 3190-nucleotide long non-coding RNA. The record is from Ensembl. NCBI's taxonomy places the organism in Eukaryota, Metazoa, Chordata, Mammalia, Artiodactyla, Bovidae.
AUGGACUGCAGCCCACCAGGCUCCUCCAUCCAUGGGAUUUUCCAGGCAGGAGUACUGGAGUGGGGUGCCGUUGCCUUCUCCAGUGCUUCUUGGGAUCACCUCCCAAAUGCAACCACUUCUACUCAUUUCCUCCCCUCAGGUUCUGCUUCUGUGGAAACCCAACCUACAAACCACCGAAAAGAGUGCAAUACCCUCUCAAAUGAAGAGUGUGAACCCUGGCACAGAACAGUUAACAGAAUCCCAGAAGAGAACCCAGGACCUGAGCCUCCAGCCCUUACUGUGAGUCUGAAGUCUGUGUCCGUCAGGUCACAGGAGCUGCAAGCAGUGGCUGCACAGAGCUGGAACAGCAAGCUGCUGAGAGGAGAUACCGCACGUCCAAGGUCAGAAGCACUGGCUGCACUUCGCUGGAGCAGCUGUGAAUAGAUACCCCAGGUCCAAGGUCAAGCACGGCAGCUCCGCUUUGCUGGAUGGUGGUGUGGAGACACCCCAUGAUCACAGUCUGAUGGUACCCCAGCAAGAUGGUAGACGCUGGAGCGGCUGUGAGGAGAUACCCCACGUCCAAGGGCAAAGGAGACGCCCCAGCAAGACGAUAGGAGGGGCGAAUUCACAUUUAGAAUCAAACCUGAUUUCUACCAGAGACGCUCAGAGGGCUCAAACAAACCUUGUGAGACCCAGGGACCCAGGGACCCCACAGAGACUAGGACAGAAUUGUGUUUGAGCAUCUCCUGUGGAUAUACGGGUCGGCAGUGGUCUGCUGCAGGGACAGGGGCUCUGGGUGUGGGGAUGGCAUAAGCCCUCUUGGAGGAGGUCACCAUUAACCCUACCACAGAGCUGCCAGAACUUACACAGGACUGGGAAAUAGACUCUUGGAGGGCACAACAGAGCCUUGUGCACUAGGACCAGGGAGGAAGGAACAGUGACCCCACAGGAGACUUGCCUGUGGUGUCCAGGAGUCUCUGGUGAAGGCAUGGGUCGGUGGUGGCCUGCUGCAGGGCUGGGGGCAUGGACUGUAGCAGUACAUGCAUGGGACCUUUUGAGAGAGGUCACCAUUAUCUUCAUUACAUCCACCAUAGUUUGGCCCCAGAUAAAUAGCAGGGAGGGAACACAGCUCCACCCAUCAACAGAAAAUUGGAUUAAAGAUUUACUGAGCAUGGUCGUGCCCAGCAGAACAAGACCCAAUAUCCCCCUUGGUCAGUCUGUCCCAUCAGGAAGCUUUCAUAAGCCUUUUAUGCUUCUCCAUCAGAGAGCAGACAGACUGAAAGCCACAAUCACAGGAAACUAACCAAUCUAAUCACAUGGACCACAGCCUUGUCUAACUCAGUGAAACUAUGAGCCAUGAGGGCCACUCAAGAUACGGGUCAUGGUGGAGAGUUCUGACAAAAUGUUGCCCACUAGAAAAGGGAAUGGCAAACCACUUUAGCAUUCCUGGCUUGAGAACCCCAUGAACAGUAUGAAAAUGCAAAAAGAUAGGACACUGAAAGAUGAACUCCCCAGGUCUGUAGAUGCCUAAUAUACUACCAGAGAUCAGUGGAGAAAUAACUCCAGAAAGAAUGAAGAGACGGAGCCAAAGCAAAAACAACACCCAGUUGUGGAUGUGACUGGUGAUGGAAGCAAGGUCUGAUGCUGUAAAGAGCAAUAUUGCAUAGGAACCUGGAAUGUUAGGUCCAUGAAUCAAGGCAAAUUGGAAGUGGUCAAACAGGAGAUGGCAAGAGUGAACAUUUUAGGAAUCAGAGAACUAAAAUGGAGUGGUUGGAUGAAUUUAACUCAGAUGACCAUGAUAUCUACUACUGUGGGCAAGAAUCCCUUAGAAGAAAUGUCAUAGUCAACAAAAGAGUCCAAAAUGCAGUACUUGGGCACAGUCUCAAAAACGAAGGCAUGAUCUCUGUUCAUUUCAUGGCAAACUGUUCAAUAUCACGGUAAUGCAAAUCUAUGCCCCAACCAGUAAUGCUGAAGAAGCUGAAGUUGAAAGGUUCUAUGAAGGCCUACAAGACCUUCUAGAAAUAACACCCCAAAAAACUGUCCAUUUCAUUAUAGGGGACUGGAAUGCAAACAUAGGAAGGCAAGAAACACCCAGAGGAACAGGCAAAUUUGGACUUGGAGUAUGGAAUGAAGCAGGCAAAGGCUAAUAGAGUUUUGCCAAGAGAACAUACUGGUCAUAGCAAACACCCUCUUCCAACAACACAAGAAAAGACUCUACACAUGGACAUCACCAGAUGGGUGACACCGAAAUCAGAUUGAUUAUAUUCUUUGCAGCCAAAGAUGGAGAUGCUCUAUACAGUCAGCAAAAACAAGAUGAGGAGCUGACUGUGGCUCAGAUCACGAACUCCACAUUGCCAAAUUUAGUCUUAAGUUGAAGAAAGUAGGGAAAACCACUAGACUAUUCAGGUAUGACCUAAAUAAAAUCCCUAACGAUUAUACAGUGGAACUGAGAAAUAGAUUUAAGGUACUAGAUCUGAUAGACAGAGUGCCUGAAGAACUAUGGACAGAGGUUCAUAACAUUGUACAGGAGGCAGGGAGCAAGACCAUCCCCAAGAAAAAGAAAUGCAAAAAUGAAAAAUGGCUGUCUGAGGAGGCCUUACAAAUAGCUGUGAAUAGAAGAGAAGUGAAAGGCAAAGGAGAAGAGGAAAGAUAUACCCAUUUGAAUGCAGAGUUUUUAGAACUUCUUUAGGAAUAGCAAGGAGAGAUAAGACAGUCUUCCUCAAUGGUCAGUGCAAAGAAAUAGAAGAAAACAAUAGAAUGGGAAAGACUAGAGAUGUCUUCAAGAAAAUUACAGAUACCAAGGGACCAUUUCAUGCAAAAAUGGGCACAGUAAAGGACAGAAAUGGUAUGGACCUAACAGAGGCAGAAGAUAUUAAGACAAGGUGGCAAAAAUACACAGAAGGACUGUACAAAAAAGAUCUUCAUGACGCAGAUAAUCACCAUGGUGUGAUCACUCACCUAGAGCCAGACAUCCUGGAAUGUGAAGUCAAGUGGGCCUUAGAAAGCAUCACUACGAACAAAGCUAGUGGAGAUAAUGGAAUUCCAGUUGAGCUAUUUCAAAUCCUAAAAGAUGAUGCUGUGAAAGUGCUUCACCCAAUAUACUAGCAAAUUUGGAAAACUCAGCAGUGGCCACAGGACUGGAAAAGGUCAGUUUUCAUUCCAAUCCCUAAGAAAGGCAAUGCCAAAAAUGCUCAAACUACCUCACAAUUGC